GAAGAAGACCUCAAUGCACAAGUAUCACAAAUAAAAAUUGGUCAAGAAUGUAUUGUACACAUCUUAGAAGCAUUGGCAACUAUUUUAAAUAACAUAUUAACUACUAUUAAGGAUAACUAUCAAUGCAUUAAAAUGUUAAUACAAGGCCAAGAACACGUAAUUAAAAAACAAUGCAUACAUAUAGCUAGCUAUUCAUUCUUUUUCGGCAUUUGCACUCCGACAUAUGGAGAGUGCAAUUGUUGAAUUUAGGUUGCAAAUAAUAAAUCUCCAAACAGUGAUAGAGGUGCUAGAGCAGGAACAUCUAAGUGCAUAUUUUGUUCCUCUACGAAUGAUUCUAGCUGCGUUAAUGGAUAUAAAUAACCAUUUGUCAGUUGAUAUGUCAUUAAUAGAGCCAGUCCGACAAAACAAUCUAAGUAUUAUCAAUUCAUUUCUGUAACCACUGUAACACUCCCAGAUACACUGAGGUUAUUUGUAGAUAUACCUCUAAUGAAUCCUGAUCAGUUUUUUGAUCUGUUCAAGGUUGUAAAUUUUCCAGUACAUCAUGCU
This 546-nucleotide long non-coding RNA is filed under the name Androctonus crassicauda. Lineage: Eukaryota; Metazoa; Arthropoda; Arachnida; Scorpiones; Buthidae. The record is from RNAcentral.